GAUGAACGCUGGCGGCGUGCCUAAUACAUGCAAGUCGAUCGAACAGACGAGGAGCUUGCUCCUCUGACGUUAGCGGCGGACGGGUGAGUAACACGUGGAUAACCUACCUAUAAGACUGGGAUAACUUCGGGAAACCGGAGCUAAUACCGGAUAAUAUAUUGAACCGCAUGGUUCAAUAGUGAAAGACGGUUUUGCUGUCACUUAUAGAUGGAUCCGCGCCGCAUUAGCUAGUUGGUAAGGUAACGGCUUACCAAGGCAACGAUGCGUAGCCGACCUGAGAGGGUGAUCGGCCACACUGGAACUGAGACACGGUCCAGACUCCUACGGGAGGCAGCAGUAGGGAAUCUUCCGCAAUGGGCGAAAGCUUGACGGAGCAACGCCGCGUGAGUGAUGAAGGUCUUCGGAUCGUAAAACUCUGUUAUUAGGGAAGAACAAAUGUGUAAGUAACUAUGCACGUCUUGACGGUACCUAAUCAGAAAGCCACGGCUAACUACGUG
Molecule: ribosomal RNA, 497 nt
Filed under: uncultured bacterium
Lineage: Bacteria
Description: partial 16S ribosomal RNA
Rfam family: Bacterial small subunit ribosomal RNA
Source: RNAcentral